This 809-nucleotide long non-coding RNA is filed under the name Malus domestica (apple). Its description in RNAcentral is "long non-coding RNA (MDOM_LNC015151)". The record is from RNAcentral. Lineage: Eukaryota; Viridiplantae; Streptophyta; Magnoliopsida; Rosales; Rosaceae.
GGUUUCGUGAAAGCGAAGGUUUGCGCAGGGUAAUUUGUGUGUUGAAUUGGAGGGGCUUUCAAAUGUUGCACGGUGUCUUGUAUUUAUAGGGAUGAGUAUGCACUGAUUGAUAAGCAGAUAAAGACUACCAAGCUAUUAAAACUCUUCCUCAGAUAAGCCUUACUACUCCCAAGACUCUAAACUUAGUAAAAAAUGCAACCAAAUUCAAUAUAUGUUUAGUCUUAUCCCAUCGAAUCCCAAUAUAGCCUGCAUGCUUGGAUUUGAACAAAUAAUGUUCCUCUAAACAACCACCAAUCGACCUGCCCUGCUGUGGUUGGUUCCUUUUUUAGAGAUAAUCACCCCCAAAUUCGCAAUACAUAAUUAUAUAGGAAGUAAUCUUUCACAUGGCAUGCAUUGUGAUUCCAUCAUCAAUUCAUCUGACAACACCCAUCAUUACUCAAUUAACCUAGCCUACCUAGGUUUAUUAUCUCACCAUUAUCCAAGACCAUCAAAUCAUAUGCUUAUGACACCAUCAUAAUUCCAUCACCUUUAAACCUAUCCAUGCAUGCAUCUUGAUCACAUGAAUUUAAAAUUCAUUUUUAGCUUCCAAGUGCUGUCAGACAUCCCAAAUCAAUUCAAAUUGUACUGCUUACUUGGGAUUGAAUUCACAUCCUAUAUAUCUAGUUUAAGAAGAUGCAGAUAAUUCAUAUUAAAAGAUAAUUAUUAUAAUAAAAACCAUAAUAUUACCCUUUAACAAUAACAAAAUUAUCUCCACGUUUCCAUCCGACGGUUGAGAACUAUGCUCACUCAACGACCUUGAUUGCACGGGC